Strigops habroptila (Kakapo) is the source of this 813-nucleotide long non-coding RNA. RefSeq lists it as uncharacterized. Lineage: Eukaryota; Metazoa; Chordata; Aves; Psittaciformes; Psittacidae. The record is from RefSeq and is a predicted model, not a curated record. The transcript has 3 exons.
CAGCAGGAGGCCCCUGCAAGCUCUCUCAACAACCGCUCAGGAGUACAUCCACACUGUGGAAUCAGACAGCAUCUGAAAGAGAAGCUGAAGUAUGGAUCACUUUAACACAACUGAGGACUUUACUGACUUAGAUGGGAAAAGGAAUGGUCUACUGCAGUCUACAUAUAUUUCGACCUUUGUAAAUCCACAGCCACUCACAGGACUUCACUCCAGAAAUUACUUUGGAUCAGUGUGGGCAUGAAUAGUCAGCAGACCAGAAAACUAGCUUACGAGUGAACCUGGACGCCGUUUGGCUACAUUAUUUUGUGUGUUUGAGUAGAAACUUAUUCUGGAGACCAUUUCACUGAAAUUGACACCAAAACACAGAAGGUAUUUGAAAAUAUUUUACAGCUCAAGCAGAUGAGAAACUGAAGAAAGACAUGACAUGCAAUUAAAGCUGCAAAACAUAUUUAGCGUGAUUUCAGUGAACUGAAGUACUUACAGUUCUUGGAAGAAGGUCAUGGGAUUUUAACAUGCAUAAAAAGUUUGUUGUGUUGACCACAGACUACUAGAAUAUGAGUUUACCAAUUAAUUCCAGUGUAAGGCUGCCACUUAACAGAACAAUAUACCUUCUAUUUUUUCAUAUUUCUGCAGAACUGAAAAGAAUUUUUCUGGAAAAUUAGAUCUUAACAAAUACAUCCUAUUUUUUUACAUGAAGAAAUUACCUUUACAUGUCAUACACUUGAGAAAAUAAUGUACCUUUUUAAACAUUUUCUUAACACUGCUAAUGUCAUGAAUCUUGUUAUUGAAAUAAACUUUUGAACAUGAAUUAUU